This 21-nucleotide small nuclear RNA is filed under the name Arabidopsis thaliana (thale cress). RNAcentral's name for it is "snRNA_11341". The record is from RNAcentral. Lineage: Eukaryota; Viridiplantae; Streptophyta; Magnoliopsida; Brassicales; Brassicaceae.
AAGAAAUAAUAUGUGUACAAU